UGGGGAAUCUUGCACAAUGGGGGAAACCCUGAUGCAGCGACGCCGCGUGAGCGAUGAAGCCCUUCGGGGUGUAAAGCUCUUUCGGCAGGAACGAUAAUGACGGUACCUGCAGAAGAAGCUGCGGCUAACUACGUGCCAGCAGCCGCGGUAAUACGUAGGCAGCAAGCGUUGUUCGGAGUUACUGGGCCUAAAGAGUGCGUAGGCGGUCCUCUAAGUUCGGUGUGAAAUCUCCCGGCUCAACUGGGAGGGUGCGCCGGAAACUGGAGGGCUUGAGUAUGGGAGAGGAAAGCGGAAUUCCUGGUGUAGCGGUGAAAUGCGUAGAUAGCAGGAGGAACACCUGUGGUGUAGAGGGCUUUCUGGACCAUGACUGACGCUGAGGCACGAAAGCGUGGGGAGUGAACG
RNAcentral lists this ribosomal RNA (402 nucleotides) under uncultured prokaryote. RNAcentral describes it as "bacterial SSU rRNA". It matches the Rfam family "Bacterial small subunit ribosomal RNA", at positions 355 to 774 of the family's 1533-position model. The record is from RNAcentral.